RNAcentral lists this unclassified non-coding RNA (328 nucleotides) under fungal sp. RNAcentral describes it as "partial internal transcribed spacer region". The stretch from base 1 to 46 matches the Rfam family "Eukaryotic small subunit ribosomal RNA", at positions 1786 to 1831 of the family's 1831-position model. The record is from RNAcentral. Lineage: Eukaryota; Fungi.
AAGUCGUAACAAGGUUUCCGUAGGUGAACCUGCGGAAGGAUCAUUAACACUUUUUUCACAUUUUGUCAAGUAUAUUUUUUUAUAUACUUGACAAUCUUACUACCCACCUUUUAGAUGAAUUUUUAUGUGGAUUGGGAAUGGAAUAUUCUUCAUAUUUCAUUUUCCAUAUCCACAUCAUUUUAUCUCUUUUUAACUUUUUUAACCCCAAACACCAUUAUUGCUAUGCAUUGACUGAAAUGUAUUUGUGUCUUUUCUUUUCACAAAGAAAACACAAAUCCAAACCAAAAAAGCUAAGAAACAACUCUUAACAACGGAUAUCUUGGCUCUC